Parus major (Great Tit) is the source of this 2549-nucleotide long non-coding RNA. RefSeq lists it as uncharacterized. The record is from RefSeq and is a predicted model, not a curated record. The transcript has 3 exons. NCBI's taxonomy places the organism in Eukaryota, Metazoa, Chordata, Aves, Passeriformes, Paridae.
AGGAAACUGCCACCACUUUAUACACAAAGUGAAAAGCAGAUCAAGAUUCGCACAAGGCUGUGGUGUCAUUAAAUUAUUUCACCCACUUCCCUGCUACUACGACUUAGGGAGUACAUGAAUUCGUUUUCCAAGACAUCAGGAAAUGAAGGAGCCUACAGGAGAAUAUAUUCCUGUUCAGCUAGCAAGUUAUAUUUUCUGAGAGCUGUUCAGGGAUGAACAGAGCACCACGUCACUGGCACAAACCUAGAUUACAUCAAGAAAGGAAGAACAAGCAGAACUGAUGCUACUUCAUCUGGAUCACCACAGCAGAUACCAUGUUAGGACCCUUCAACACUCAAAUGAGCAUUGCAUCCACAUUAGGAUCUUCUCUGUAAGAAUGCUCAGGAAAAUAAGUGUUUAAUACCUAUGCAUAAUAUAUCACUUCUGGCAUGUCAGUGUCCAAAUCUUGGUGGGUUAACCAAGCUUUUUUGAAAAUGCAUGUCCACCUACCUUACUGCUUUUAUAUUAAUUUCUUCUAUGAUGCAGCCUUUUCUUCAAACCCUUGUGCUAGUUAAUAAUUAUAGCAAUGAUGGCUUACAUGAAUUAUCUCAAAUGAGUAUUUAAAGGGUUAGACUCCUGAUUCAAAUCAUGCUGAUUUUUACCCUUUAGAUAGUGGGGUGACUCAAAAUGCUUGUGUCAGACGUCUUUAACCUCUCCAGCUGUCCUGCCAGUGAGGAUGAGUCAGAAGCUGCAGUCCUACAAUGAACACACCCUAAAUCUGGAAAGCUCAGCUGUUACCAUAACUGAUUUGGCAGCUUGGGACAGGAUGGGGACUGGUACAUUACUGAGGUGACAGUAGCUUUUCCAGAGUGAGCCUGCAUCUUUCAAAGAGAGGAAAGUCUUGUUGUCCUUUGUCUUAUUCUACACUGAUAGUGAAAACAGUAUUUUCCAGGGGAGCUGAGCUGACUGAGCUAUAGUAGAGACUGUGUCCUUGGUAACUUCUGAGGCUGAUAGUAUGGAACACUUUGUUCACUUCCUACACUGGCAUUUGGGGAAAGGUGCUGAACUUGUAGAACAUGUGUGGUAUAGGAUGCGACUGGUCUGUGGUCCCUUGAGUCUUAAAGAAAGAUGUCUGGUCCAGGCAGAGAAGACUCCAUUAAGAACUGGGCAUUCCCACUGAUUUCAGUGUGUGUAUAUAUACAUAUAUACAUAUAUAUGUACUCGGUCCUAAGGUAUCUAUGCUUGUGUCACCCAAUGGUGAUAAGGGGAAAGGCAGGUUCUUUUAGGGAUCUUAGGCAGAAUGAUAAUGAUAAUAAUCUGUAGUAACAAAGCUUUAUUUUCUUAGCAGCCUAUUAUAAUCAAUAUAUCAAAUAAUUUAUUGCUAUAAUGGCACUGGACUUCUAGAAGCAGAAUCAAGGUAAUCCAAUUUAGAAGUAGCCUAAUAUUGCAUUUAAAAUACAACUUAACUUAUCAUUACAGUUGUGCCCUAACUCAAGCUUAUGAUACAACCUAAUUUACAAUUACAGCUCUGUGUGCUGUUAGGCUUCCCUCAGGAUCAACAACAGCACCUCGCUGGCCGGGUGCCUGGGGCCUCCAGGGCUGGCAGGAAUGGGAGUAAUUGUCCUGGUGCCCAGCAACCUUGAGGCAGGUGGGGAGGGGAAGAAAAAAUCUCUUUGGUUUGUCUGCUUGGAUCACAGGACCUUUGGGGCCUGAAAAUGAGGGGAUGUGAACAAAUACAUCACCAACUUGGUUAAAGAGAGAGGCUGCUUGGCUUAUAGAAUGGCAUUGGUUAUGCUAACCACAUAAUACAGGGUCAGGAGCAGGGGUACUGGAUUCAUACACAUGGAUGGUUUUGGUAGCACUGCCCUGUGGGUGUCAAGUAGAAAUACCCCUCCUCACAGUGAGAGUAAGAAAAUACUUCGUAGAAAGUCAUUCUGUACAAACUGUGGUUGCAUUUGUGGCCUUUGCUGCCUUGAAGCUUUCCAAAGGGGAGCUCUGCACUUCAUGACCACCUGGCAACUGCAUAUACAACAGAGUGAUUUUACCCUUUUCAAUUAGCCAUAGUUAUAGACUGCUGUGGUCAAUAGAUUUUUUUCACACUGUUCCAAAGAAACUCCACAGAUCUAACAGCAAAUUUUUUAUUGGUAUUUCUUUUAAAAUUUCAUUUAAAAUGUCCAGUCUAUAGGCAUGUUGAAAGAAUGCUUUCCUGAGACUUUGUUGAUGGUUACUAUGGCUGCAUGUUUGAGUAGAUUUGUGAUUUGGUUUUGCUUUCAGAGUAGUACUAAAACUAUUACACAAACAAUGCUUUCAUUUUGCUUCCACAGUAUCUUCUACAGGCUUCAAAAGAAAUGCACACAGGAAACAAGAUUUAGUUCUAGCAUUUUCAUCGUUAUCUUUAAAAUCUAGAUUUUACAGUGGUAAUAAUAAAAUUUCCAACUGCUUUUGAAUAUUUUAUUUUUUUUUUAGCUAGCAGGAUUUUGAGUAGUCUGCUGAAUAGAUCUGAAAAGGAACUAGUCUGUAUAGUAAAGUUACUAAGCCUGACAUCUGCUUUAGUCAGGAUCUGUUUUCAA